Molecule: long non-coding RNA, 201 nt
Filed under: Solanum tuberosum (potato)
Lineage: Eukaryota; Viridiplantae; Streptophyta; Magnoliopsida; Solanales; Solanaceae
Description: long non-coding RNA (STUB_LNC001615)
Source: RNAcentral
UGUAUGCCUCCAUUUGAGAUGUCCAAAUGUGUUUUAAAUGAACCAUGUGCUAGUUGAAUCACUUGCUCACUUGUUAUACCACUCAAUGACUCAUUUUCUACAUGUUCUCACUUGUUGUGUGUCUUCGUGGCCCAUUUAUGAAUAUGUUUUAGCCCAAUAAGAUUCAUUGUGUCAUAUAAAUUCCUAAGUAUUACUACAUUG